UGGUGGAGUGAUUUGUCUGGUUAAUUCCGUUAACGAACGAGACCUCGACCUGCUAAAUAGUACGACGAAUCCUAGAUUCGGACGCGCUUCUUAGAGGGACUAUCGGUGUGUAGCCGAUGGAAGUUCGAGGCAAUAACA
This 138-nucleotide ribosomal RNA is filed under the name uncultured eukaryote. RNAcentral describes it as "partial 18S ribosomal RNA". It matches the Rfam family "Eukaryotic small subunit ribosomal RNA", at positions 1299 to 1458 of the family's 1831-position model. The record is from RNAcentral.